AGAGUCAAAUGGAGUCCAGCGUCAGUGAGAUUAUAUGUUAUGUGGUAUAUAAUGUUGGAUGUCAACUCCCCAAAACCAUAAAACUUACUUUAAUGGCCCCACGUGACGUUUUAUAGCCAGUGAGCCGAUCUGUCUGUGCUAUGGAUGAUUUUACGAUCUAAUUCAUAGACAAAACCCUAUUCAUUUGGCACCCAAAUGUCAUAUAGCCGGAACUGGGGCUUAUAAAGUUUACUGUUUUAUAACUUUUAAAAGGAAAGACGGCAUCAGUGUAAGCAGUCGGUAAAUGUGCAAAUCUCUAGUUGCGCUUUAGCUGCUCUGAGGAGUUUCUCAAUCGAGCUAGGAUGGGAAUUCCACUCGCGCGCCUCUUCCCUGUCCCCGCGCUCCUGACAUCGCUCUCGUCCGAAAGCCGCGUGGAAGGAAGCGGGCGAUCCGCAGAGGUCUCUGGCUGAAUUAAUGGCGGCUCCCAGAAGCUCCUGCCCCUCUGACAGCUGUCGCUUGGGCAGCCCGGGGAGACGAAUUGUCCUCCUUCCUGGUGCCAGAGGACGCAGGAAAUUAGCCAGGUUGCGAGUUGCAAAGCGGCCGCCGCGGCGCCGGGGACUGGGCGCGCCCCACCUCCAGCUGGAGCAGCCAGGCCCGGCCGGCCCGGGGCCUCGUCUCGCUCUCCAUCGCCGGACAAAGCGCAGCGGAGCCGGGCUGCGAGGCAGAGCUCCGAAGCAGGCAGGACGGAGCGGAGCAAAAGAAUGCGGCUCUAUUCUCGCAAGGGAAAUUAUAAAAAAGUUCAUGUUCACGGUUCCCAUCCACAUGACCGACAGCGGCCAAUGGAAGGGCCGAACAACUCAUAAAGUUGUAUUGCAAAGUUGUAAAUUUUCAUAAACAACAACGGAUUUA
This is a long non-coding RNA of Phyllostomus discolor (pale spear-nosed bat), 888 nucleotides long. RefSeq lists it as uncharacterized. The transcript has 3 exons. NCBI's taxonomy places the organism in Eukaryota, Metazoa, Chordata, Mammalia, Chiroptera, Phyllostomidae. The record is from RefSeq and is a predicted model, not a curated record.